CUGCAUGCAUUAAUUGUAAGAUUUUUAUGUCUUUAAAUCUCACUCAGGUGGAGACUAGGAAUUUGAUUAUAACUGGACUUGUAAGUCUUGGAGAGAAGUGUUUCAGUUUAAGUCCAAGACUACUAAGAUUCCUAAUUCAUAGUGGAUUAGAACUCCUAAUUCUAAUGCAAUAAGGAGAGGUUGUGGACUCCUUGAUGGGUAAGGAGUCCCGACUGAUGCAUAUAAAUACAUAGUCCCUGCUCAUAUCGGAUUACCCCAUUGUAAAGAGCUCAUACUCCAUCUGUGAGAGAGUAUACAUAAAUCGAUAUUGAGAAGAAGUGAUGUGUGUCAAGUUGCUCGUUCAAUCAUUCCAAUGGCUACAAAACAAAGUAGUGUUCUCUUAUAUGCAAUCUAAUUGGUUUACAAGUGGUAUCAGAGUUGAAAUUUAGGCCAGCUGAAAGAUAAAAUUUUCUCUAAUACCAACAAAUAACCUAGAAAAUUUUCUGCUGCUUCCUCUAUGUGGAUGGUAUUGUUGGCAAGGUGGAAAUCUGAUUUCUGCCUUUGUCUUAGCUUUAUCUUAUGUCUAGUGUGAGUCUGGUUUGGUUUCUUUUUGUUCAUCUUAUUCUCUCAUUUUCUCUUAAUCAUUAACUCCGAUGCCUAUUAAUGGGUUGAGUGAUGAGUUUGUUGUGUUAAUUGGCUGGGUUAUCUAUCAAAUGUUUUAAGGUUUUUUUUGUUUUGUUAAUAGGUUAGGUUGUUA
This 736-nucleotide long non-coding RNA is filed under the name Prunus persica (peach). Its description in RNAcentral is "long non-coding RNA (PPER_LNC007235)". Lineage: Eukaryota; Viridiplantae; Streptophyta; Magnoliopsida; Rosales; Rosaceae. The record is from RNAcentral.